Non-coding RNA from Phrynosoma platyrhinos (Desert horned lizard), 72 nucleotides. Lineage: Eukaryota; Metazoa; Chordata; Lepidosauria; Squamata; Phrynosomatidae. The record is from the annotation of a GenBank genome assembly.
GCCAGUGUAGCUUAGUGGUUUGAGUGUUGGACUAUGACUCCAGAAACAAGGGUUCAAUUCCAAGCUUGAUCA